UUUUGAGGAUAUUCUGUAUACUUUAUGAAGAUUUUAGCUUUUGUUAUUCCAGGUUAUUUAAGUAAUAAAUUCAUGAAAAAUAUGCAAUUUUUUCAAAUGACAAAAAUUGAAGUAUGCCUUUAGUGAUGUUCUUCAAACCUGACCAUAAAUUUUGAGGAAUGAUUUUCUGUUUAUAUAAUAGUGAUUUUACAUUUUGUUUUUCCAGAGAUAUGAGACUUAAAUCUAAUAAUAAA
RNAcentral lists this long non-coding RNA (233 nucleotides) under Mytilus galloprovincialis (Mediterranean mussel). Lineage: Eukaryota; Metazoa; Mollusca; Bivalvia; Mytilida; Mytilidae. The record is from RNAcentral.